GACGAACGCUGGCGGCGCGCCUAACACAUGCAAGUCGAACGAGCGAGCGAGAGCUUGCUUUCUCGAGCGAGUGGCGAACGGGUGAGUAACGCGUGAGGAACCUGCCUCAAAGAGGGGGACAACAGUUGGAAACGACUGCUAAUACCGCAUAAGCCCACGACCCGGCAUCGGGUAGAGGGAAAAGGAGCAAUCCGCUUUGAGAUGGCCUCGCGUCCGAUUAGCUAGUUGGUGAGGUAACGGCCCACCAAGGCGACGAUCGGUAGCCGGACUGAGAGGUUGAACGGCCACAGUGGGACUGAGACACGGCCCAGACUCCUACGGGAGGCAGCAGUGGGGAAUAUUGCACAAUGGGGGAAACCCUGAUGCAGCGACGCCGCGUGGAGGAAGAAGGUCUUCGGAUUGUAAACUCCUGUUGUUGAGGAAGAUAAUGACGGUACUCAACAGGGAAGUGACGGCUAACUACGUG
RNAcentral lists this ribosomal RNA (466 nucleotides) under uncultured bacterium. RNAcentral's name for it is "partial 16S ribosomal RNA". It matches the Rfam family "Bacterial small subunit ribosomal RNA", at positions 28 to 507 of the family's 1533-position model. The record is from RNAcentral.